UGAGGAAUAUUGGUCAAUGGGCGGAAGCCUGAACCAGCCAAGUAGCGUGCAGGACGACGGCCCUAUGGGUUGUAAACUGCUUUUAUGCGGGGAUAAAGUGGGCCACGCGUGGCCUUUUGCAGGUACCGCAUGAAUAAGGACCGGCUAAUUCCGUGCCAGCAGCCGCGGUAAUACGGAAGGUCCGGGCGUUAUCCGGAUUUAUUGGGUUUAAAGGGAGCGCAGGCCGCCGGGCAAGCGUGUUGUGAAAUGCAGUCGCUCAACGUCUGCACUGCAGCGCGAACUGG
Molecule: ribosomal RNA, 284 nt
Filed under: uncultured Prevotella sp.
Lineage: Bacteria; Pseudomonadati; Bacteroidota; Bacteroidia; Bacteroidales; Prevotellaceae
Description: partial 16S ribosomal RNA
Rfam family: Bacterial small subunit ribosomal RNA
Source: RNAcentral